UUUCCUACGGGACGCAGCAGCCGCGGUAAUACGUAGGGUGCGAGCGUUAAUCGGAAUUACUGGGCGUAAAGGGUGUGCAGGCGGCUGAGUAAGACAGAUGUGAAAUCCCCGGGCUUAACCUGGGAACCGCAUAUGUGACUGCUUGGCUAGAGUGCGUCAGAGGGAGGUGGAAUUCCACGUGUAGCAGUGAAAUGCGUAGAUAUGUGGAAGAACACCGAUGGCGAAGGCAGCCUCCUGGGACGCAACUGACGCUCAUACACGAAAGCGUGGGGAGCAAACAGGAUUAGAUACCCGAGUAGUCCGAG
RNAcentral lists this ribosomal RNA (305 nucleotides) under uncultured bacterium. RNAcentral describes it as "bacterial SSU rRNA". It matches the Rfam family "Bacterial small subunit ribosomal RNA", at positions 497 to 799 of the family's 1533-position model. The record is from RNAcentral.